GAUCAAAUGGCUGAUUAGCAAUAAAACAAGAACAUGUUAUUCAAGCAAGAUAUGUUACACGUAUUCACUUAGGUUUAUAUAUUAGGUAUGGAUGCUUGCGAGUAGAAUUGUUCACUUAAGCAUUUUGUCAAACGUCUGCGCUGGUAUCUGAGGUUUUUUGCUAAGUUUAGUGUAUUUUGAAGGAUCCGCAGGCAGUGCUUACGCCCUUUAUCACAACCGUACCAACACGAGUGUAGCAUAGGCUUCAAAACUACAUGUAGAAGUGGGAAAUAAUUUAAUUGAAAGUCCCACACCCCCUCCCUUACAAAAAAUUAUUAAGAGACAGAUAAACUUAAUACGAAUAAAUCACAGGGACAUUUCUAAAAAACACUACUAAAUUAAGCACAAAUAUCAUAAAGGAAAGAAAGCCCAUGAAUGAAAGUUGAAAAGGGCAAAGAAGAAAAACUACUAAUAAACACAAACCAUUCACUAUAUCGCUGCUGCCGCGAACACUUGGCAAGAGGCAGAUGGGAGUGGUGUUUGUCCAUGGACAGAGUGAAGGAAAGGCAGAGGAAAAACUGCAAGUUUGAGAAACAGAAAAGAAGGUGAAGGUUGUUAAAGAAGGCAAGUAAUGAGGUAGGGGGACAAAGACAGUGGAAAAUGUUGCUGUUGGUCUACUUCUUUGGCCAUUUUUGCAUCAAACUAUUUGUGCUCACAUCAUAGAUUACACUUGUCCAAACCAAUGGGCC
Molecule: long non-coding RNA, 728 nt
Filed under: Capsicum annuum
Lineage: Eukaryota; Viridiplantae; Streptophyta; Magnoliopsida; Solanales; Solanaceae
Description: long non-coding RNA (CANN_LNC014439)
Source: RNAcentral